AGAAUAGUUGUGUAAAGGAUAGAGCGCAUGUAUCUUCAUCUUGCAUUUAGGUCAUUUCUUGAAAUACAGAUUGAUUUUUCUGUUGCCAUAAUGACAAAUGCCAUAUUUAGGGUUUUCUUAACAGGUUAGGAUGUCUCACAUAACCACAGGAUUCCUCAGAGUGACCAUGCUGCUCUUCAGAGUGCUAGCAGGCUAGCACUCAUCACUGAGAAUGAUGGAGCGCCUUCCACACGUCACACCACACCCCCAGAAAAUACAGGCAUCUUUAAAUCUUGUAUGCAAGGCUCUAUUCUCACCACUGUUUGGAAUGCUUGGUAGAGACAUCCAUGAAUGCUGCCUUGAGGUCAAAGAGGCCUCGUCCAAUCAGUGACAGUAAAUGGAGUGACAGCACAUGUGACAGUGAUGCCCCAGGGGAGGGGCUCUGGCAGCAACUUUAAUCGGGUGAAUGAUUAGACAGUGGCCAACUGACUGAAGACAGCAGAGAAGACAGACCAAGAGAGCUGGCUCAGUGCUUAGGACACACUGAGAAACUGAAAGAGGAACAAAAGACGUGAGAAAGAAGCCAUCAUGUUUACAGACGUUUCAGUGAAAAGUGAUUCAACUUUUGCCUUGGCACAUGCACACUGAGGUCUACGGAAGGGGUGUUCAAGGGGGACCUGCUGUACAGCACAGGGAACUCUACCUGAUAUUCUGUGAUAACCUGUGUGGGAAAAGAAUCCGAGACAGAAAGAAUGUGUAUACAUGUAUGA
This 749-nucleotide long non-coding RNA is filed under the name Sus scrofa (pig). RNAcentral's name for it is "lncRNA (ENSSSCG00070019773.1)". The record is from RNAcentral. Lineage: Eukaryota; Metazoa; Chordata; Mammalia; Artiodactyla; Suidae.